This 300-nucleotide ribosomal RNA is filed under the name uncultured Bacillus sp. RNAcentral's name for it is "bacterial SSU rRNA". It matches the Rfam family "Bacterial small subunit ribosomal RNA", at positions 496 to 795 of the family's 1533-position model. Lineage: Bacteria; Bacillati; Bacillota; Bacilli; Caryophanales; Bacillaceae. The record is from RNAcentral.
GUGAACUCGGGGCCGGGAGGGCGGUUAAGACGUGGGUGUCGGGCGUGGUCCGGAAUCGCUGGGCGUAAAGGGGGCGUAGGCGGCCCGGCAAGUCUGGGGUGAAAGCUCAGGGGUCAACGCGGAGUCGGCCAUAGAGAGUGCGAGGCUCGAGUCGACGAGAGGCAGAUGGAAUUCCGGGUGUAGCGGUGGAAUGCGUAGAGAUCCGGAAGAACACCGGUGGCGAAGGCGGUCUGCUGGGGUCGAACUGACGCUGAUGCGCGACAGCGUGGGGAGCAAACAGGAUUAGAUACCCGUGUAGUC